UCCCUCAAUUCUCUCUGCCUUGGUGUGCAACCUCACCCAUUCUCUGGGUGUCAAUUCCCAAACUUCAUGAUGAAGCCCAAAUCUCCAGGCUGACUCUCACAUCUGAACACCAGACCAUGUAUCCAACCAUUGGCUCAAAUCUUUCUGCCCAUCUAAGGGAACAGGAAUAGAAGGUACCCAAAAUGAGGUCCAGAGGUCAGAGCUUCCAACCAUAGAGGAUUUGUUCCAGGCCUGGAAACCUCAUAGCAUUUGCCCUGAUGGGUUUUAAACUUGCUCAGGACCCAUGACCCCUUUUUCUCCUUUUGAAAUGGGAAUGUCUAUCCUUUGCUUGCCCCAUCACCGUAUUUUGGAAGCAGAUCACUUGCUUUCUGAUUUCUCACAGGUUCGCAGAUGGAGAGGAAUUUUGCCCCACAAUGGACCACACUCUGAGUCUCCCUCAUACCUGCUGUAGAUGACUGACAUGAAGAGUUGUGGGAUUCUCAUCAGAUGAGAUGAAACUUUGAGUUGAUGGUGCUUAGAUGAGAUUUUGCACUUAGAGUUGACGCUGGAAUGGAUUAAAACUUUGGGACCACGUUGUACAGGACGCAUGGCUGGGGAGGACUCGAGAAACUUACAAUCAUGGCGGAAGGCAAAGGGGAAGCAGGCACGUGCUACAUGGCUGGAGCAGGAGGAAGAGAGUGAAGGGGGAGGUGCUACACACUUUUAAACAACCAGAUCUCGUGAGAACUCACUCACUAUCAAGAGAACAGCAAGGGGGAAGUCCACCCCCAUGAUCCAGUCACCUCCCACCAAGCCCUUCCUCCAACACUGGAGAUUACAAUUUGACAUGAGAUUUAGGUGGGGACACAAAUCCAAACCCUAUCACAAGAAGACGACAUUUGGACACAGACAUGGACAGAGGGAAGAUGAUGUGAAGAUAUAGAGAGAAGAUGGCCAUCUACACACCAAGGAGAGGCUUCAAAAGGAACCAACACUGCCAACACCUUGCUCUCGAGCUUCUGGCCUCCAGAACGGUGAGACAAUAUAUUUUUGCUGUUUAAUCCACCCAGCUGGUGGAACUUUGAUAUGGCAGCCCUAGCAAACUCAUAGAGGAAAAGUGCUCGUAGCAUCUAGUGAGUUGAGGCCAGGGAUGCUGCUCAGCAUCCUAUAAUGCACAGGACGGCCCACAGCUGAGAGUGAACAGGCCCAUUAUCAGCAGUGCUGCAGUAGCCCAUUAUCAGCAGUGCUGCAGUUGAGAAACCCUGGCCUAAGCUUAAAUAUCCAUCCUUUCCCAGAACUCUCCCGUCCCCUGAGAUGAAGUCCUUGUAUAACACACUUCCACUGGACUCUGUUAUUCAUUUCGAACUCUGACCACCCAGCUGACCGUGAGCUCCACGGAGGAGGGGUCGGUGUUUUCUUUGUGACUGUUUCCUGGUCCCCAUCUCACCAUCGGAUGACAGUAGUGGUGUUACCCGCUUCAAGAAGUAACAAAAUAGGUCAGGCACGGUGGCUCACACCUGUGGUCCCAGCACUUUGGGAGGCCGAGGUGGGCGGAUCACCUGAAGUCAAGAGUUCGAGACCAGCUUGGCCAACAUGGUGAAACCCCGUCUUUACUAAAAAUACAAAAAUUAGCCGGGCAUGGUAGCGCACCCCUGUAAUCCCAGCUACUCGGGAGGCUGAGGCAGGAAAAUCGCUUGAACCCGGGAGGCAGAGGUUGCAGUGAGCCGAGAUCGUGCCACUGCACUCCAGCCCAGGUGACAGAGCGAGAUGCUGUCUCAAUUAAAAUAAAAUAAAAAAAGAAGAAGUAACAAAAUAGAGCCUGGCCCAGAAGACUUACCAAAAAUAUACUGAAGAGCAACACAAGACUUAGAUCUAAGAAUUGUUCCCUGUCAAGAAGAAAACAGAGAUUCCAGACACAAGAGUGGAUGGCACUUUUAAGAAACAAAGUUUAUGGCCGGGCGCGGUGGCUCACGCCUGUAAUCCCAGCACUUU
RNAcentral lists this long non-coding RNA (1971 nucleotides) under Homo sapiens (human). RNAcentral's name for it is "HSALNT0256259". The record is from RNAcentral. Lineage: Eukaryota; Metazoa; Chordata; Mammalia; Primates; Hominidae.